This is a long non-coding RNA of Scatophagus argus, 1069 nucleotides long. RefSeq lists it as uncharacterized. The record is from RefSeq and is a predicted model, not a curated record. Lineage: Eukaryota; Metazoa; Chordata; Actinopteri; Scatophagidae. The transcript is spliced from 3 exons.
UCCAGACCAUGUGCUUCAGAUCCGGACCAGGUGCUUCAGGUCCAGACCAGGUGCUUCAGGUCCGGACCAGGUGCUUCAGGUCCGGACCAGGUGCUUCAGAUCCGGACCAGGUGCUUCAGGUCCAGACCAGGUGCUUCAGGUCCGGACCAGGUGCUUCAGGUCCGGACCAGACGUCCUGCCUUCCCGUUGGCUGCUGCUGCUGCUGCGGGAGGACAACCAGGCCCCGCUCACGUCAGCUCCGUGACACGAAGGCGGCCGUGACGCGGCGGCAAACCGGCGCUGACGGACGCCUUUUGGUCUUGUGCAGUCAGGCCGCGUCGUCUGGCCCGCAGACGACCGUAAUCGCACCGACAGGUGACACAUCUGUGGAAACCAGAAGAUGAUGUGGGAGACGACUUCGGUCGCGUGGCCUGCACCUCACAUGCCAGCCGUGUCAGAAAUCAACAGGCGAGCAGGACUGCAGUGAAGGUGGGUUGGAUGGGACUUCACAAUCACCUGCAGUGUGAUGCACACCUGAAAGUGAAGUCGUCAUGGGGUAUCUUAAGGUGAAUCGUGUUUAGAAAGUUGAACGUGUGUUUGCCUCAUAAUAUUCACAGUUAAACAAACUGUGGUGAGAAACUGCUCAUUUGUUUGCGGUUUGGAGUUUGAAGAUUUAUGGUUAAGUAAGGACAGAAAUACGCACACAUGAGCUGCUGCUAACUGACAGCCAGCAAUGCAGCCGGAAGUUGCACCUUUACAAAGGAAGUCCCUGAAGAGCUAAAGUUAAUAACGGUAAACUUACCACACAGCGGGGCCACCGAUCCCAUCGUCACAAUAAACGUUUGUGACAGAUGCUUCUGCCAUCCAUCCAAAAGAAAUCCUGCAGAGAACCUGCAAAGUGACCAAAAAAAUGCUGCGAAACCCAGAAAUGCUGAUCAGUGUGUUAGGAAAAGAUGACAUUGCUGAGUCAAGAAAUUGUCCAUUUAUGGAUGGGCAAACAGAAUAAAGAAGUACAAGCGAGGAAGAGUGAAGUGCACAUUAGCAGGUAUUUGAAGUGUGCAUUUCCAUGUCAUUAUUUUACCAACGAAAG